Molecule: ribosomal RNA, 487 nt
Filed under: uncultured bacterium
Lineage: Bacteria
Description: bacterial SSU rRNA
Rfam family: Bacterial small subunit ribosomal RNA
Source: RNAcentral
UACAGGGAGAAGCUUGCUUUCUUUGCUGACGAGUGGCGGACGGGUGAGUAAUGCUUGGGAAUCUGGCUUAUGGAGGGGGAUAACUACGGGAAACUGUAGCUAAUACCGCGUAAUAUCUUCGGAUUAAAGGGUGGGACUUUCGGGCCACCUGCCAUAAGAUGAGCCCAAGUGGGAUUAGGUAGUUGGUGGGGUAAAGGCCUACCAAGCCGACGAUCUCUAGCUGGUCUGAGAGGAUGACCAGCCACACUGGAACUGAGACACGGUCCAGACUCCUACGGGAGGCAGCAGUGGGGAAUAUUGCACAAUGGGGGGAACCCUGAUGCAGCCAUGCCGCGUGAAUGAAAAAGGCCUUCGGGUUGUAAAGUUCUUUCGGUGAUGAGGAAGGUGUUUGUUUUAAUAGAACAAGCAAUUGACGUUAGUCACAGAAGAAGCACCGGCUAACUCCGUGCCAGCAGCCGCGGUAAUACGGAUGGUGCGAGCGUUUAAU